RNAcentral lists this ribosomal RNA (849 nucleotides) under uncultured Acidobacteriota bacterium. RNAcentral's name for it is "bacterial SSU rRNA". It matches the Rfam family "Bacterial small subunit ribosomal RNA", at positions 72 to 902 of the family's 1533-position model. The record is from RNAcentral. Lineage: Bacteria; Pseudomonadati; Acidobacteriota.
UUUCCCCGCAAGGGGAGACUGAGUGGCGAACGGGUGAGUAACACGUGGGUGACCUACCUUCGAGUGGGGGAUAACGUCCCGAAAGGGACGCUAAUACCGCAUGACAUCCUGCCUUUGAAAAGGUGGAGAUCAAAGCCGGGGAUCGCAAGACCCGGCGCUUGAUGAGGGGCCCGCGUCCGAUUAGCUAGUUGGUGAGGUAAUGGCCCACCAAGGCAACGAUCGGUAUCCGGCCUGAGAGGGCGGACGGACACACUGGGACUGAGACACGGCCCAGACUCCUACGGGAGGCAGCAGUGGGGAAUUGUUCGCAAUGGGCGCAAGCCUGACGACGCAAUGCCGCGUGGAGGAUGAAGGUCUUCGGAUUGUAAACUCCUGUUGCCAGGGACGAAUGGCUUCGACCUAAUACGUCGAAGUAUGACGGUACCUGGUGAGGAAGCCCCGGCUAACUCUGUGCCAGCAGCCGCGGUAAUACAGAGGGGGCGAGCGUUGUUCGGAAUUACUGGGCGUAAAGGGCGCGUAGGCGGCCCGCUAAGUCGAACGUGAAAUCCCCAGGCUCAACCUGGGAACUGCGUCCGAUACUGGCAGGCUUGAAUCCGGGAGAGGGAUGUGGAAUUCCAGGUGUAGCGGUGAAAUGCGUAGAUAUCUGGAGGAACACCGGUGGCGAAGGCGGCAUCCUGGACCGGUAUUGACGCUGAGGCGCGAAAGCUAGGGGAGCAAACGGGAUUAGAUACCCCGGUAGUCCUAGCCCUAAACGAUGAAUGCUUGGUGUGGCGGGUAUCGAUCCCUGCCGUGCCGAAGCUAACGCAUUAAGCAUUCCGCCUGGGGAGUACGGUCGCAAGGCUGAAACUC